RNAcentral lists this long non-coding RNA (1313 nucleotides) under Ananas comosus (pineapple). Its description in RNAcentral is "long non-coding RNA (ACOM_LNC023899)". The record is from RNAcentral. Lineage: Eukaryota; Viridiplantae; Streptophyta; Magnoliopsida; Poales; Bromeliaceae.
AGAGCUAAAAGUAAAGGAAAAAAUAAUUCGUUUCCAAUCCAAAAGUUCUCAACUCUAUGUAACCAAAUAAAUUAUUUACACGUAAUUUCACUUUUAAUGGAGAUUCUAGAGAGUUCAGACCUUGACGUUAGUGAAUGGCCAGUGGCGAUGUAAGAUUCAGAGGUGGCUCUUAUCAAAUUCAUUGGUGUAACACUUUGUCCUUCAUAGUACUUAGCUCUCACAUUUUCACGACCCAUCCGCUAGCAAUAAUAACUCGUUGGAUCCAAACCGCCAGCCUAAAAUAUUUUAGCCCAAUUAUUAUUACUAGCAUAUAGACCUCAUGUAUUCUAAUCAAAAUUAUUUUUCCAUUCGAUAUGAGACUAUUAGGCGUUACAAUAUAUAUAUUCAUUAUCUUAAAGUAAAAAUUAUUGAUGGAAGUUAGUUCAUCUGUACAUGCAUUCACACGCUAUAAAUUUGUUAAUUUUUUUAUGUCCCAUAAUUGCAAUUUAAGAGCCUAAUUUUUACAUAUAGAAAAGAUUAUGACUUUGGAUGUUAGGGCCCAAAUAUGUGAUGGAAAAAACAGUUAAUAAAUUCAUAAUAUUUAGAUCUGCUUAUGCACUAGGGCCCUGUUUGGUUCGGAAAAUAAGCGGGGAUAAUAAAAGUUAUCCCUUCUAUUCCGCCAAAUGGGGAGAUUUGUUGUCGGCAUAUUUUAUUCCGGUCAAAUCUUGCUAUUUCCGGUUAUUCCGGAAUAGCAACAGAUUUGCUAUUCCACUAUUUUGGUGAAAUAGUACUAUUCCACCAUUUUGGUAGAAUAGUGCUAUUCCAAUGCUUAGUUUCAAACUUAAUUAAAAUUAUAAAUUGAAUUAAAACUAAAUUAUAUAAAUAUAAUAUAGAGUCCAGCUGCUAUACUAUCGGUAGCACGGGAUCUCCCGUGCUACCAAGUUGUUUUCGAUGAUGCGGCUUCCAAAUUGACGAUCGGCUCCGUUAGACUUGAUCUACACUUUUAAAAGUAUUUGGAAACUAAAUUUUAUAAUUUUUUGACAUCAUUUGACUAGUGAUCAAAAGAUCUCAAAAUUGACCAUUUUAAUGGCCGAUGUGGCGUGUUUGUGAGUUUAACGGUGUAAAACAAUCCAAAUUCGAUGAAAAUUUUAUAAAAAAUUCUUAUCACUAUUUAGAGUAAGAUCAAUAUAUCUGAUCUUGAAUUUAAAUUUUUUAUCAUCAUUUUUUAUGAGAUUUUUAUUUUCAGCCGUUCAAUUUUAGACUAUUUGUUUGAUAGGUAAAUGAUAUCGAAAAAUUAUGAAAUUUAGUUUCCAAAUACUUUUAAUAGUGUAGAU